Molecule: transfer RNA, 72 nt
Filed under: Dactylosporangium aurantiacum
Lineage: Bacteria; Bacillati; Actinomycetota; Actinomycetes; Micromonosporales; Micromonosporaceae
Description: tRNA-Asn
Rfam family: tRNA
About the family: Transfer RNA (tRNA) molecules are approximately 80 nucleotides in length.
Source: RNAcentral
UCCGGCGUCGCCCAACGGCAGGGCACACGGCUGUUCACCGUCCAGGUCCCGGUUCGAAUCCGGGCGCCGGAG